Molecule: ribosomal RNA, 263 nt
Filed under: uncultured bacterium
Lineage: Bacteria
Description: partial 16S ribosomal RNA
Rfam family: Bacterial small subunit ribosomal RNA
Source: RNAcentral
CCGGCGCACGGGUGAGUAACGCGUGUGCAACCUGCCCGGCACAGUGGGAUAAUCCGGAGAAAUCCGGUCUAAUACCGCAUGACGCGGGAAGGGCGCAUGCCUUUUCCGCCAAAGGAGGCGACUCCGGUGCCGGCUGGGCACGCGUGACAUUAGCUAGUUGGCGGGGCAACGGCCCACCAAGGCGACGAUGUCUAGGGGUUCUGAGAGGAAGGUCCCCCACACUGGUACUGAGACACGGACCAGACUCCUACGGGAGGCAGCAG